UUGAAGUGCAGCAGCCCUGUGCUUGGCUUUGUGCCCUUUCUCUGGACCCACUUGCCAGCUCCGUGUCUAUCUUGUGCUGUGGGCCCAGGCCACCAGCUGCUGUCUUUGUGAUUCCAUCUGCUGUCCGGAAACAAUCGCUCGCAGUCAGUAUGUUUGCAGAUGAUGCUGAAGGAUGAGGAACCAUCGCCUCCUCAGGAGUAGAAAGGUUUGGAUGCAACAUCUCCACGCAGCAGCAGGCAGCACGUUCACCCACCGCAUGAAGUUGGCCAAGAGCAAGCGUGGGACAGGCUGGCCCAGGAGUCUGCAUCACCAGAGGCAUUCCAGGAAAGGAGCAGGACCUAUUUCCAUCGGCCACAUCAGACUUCACUCUCCACUCAGGACAAAGCUCCGCAGGAACCAACUCACCAAGGCUGGAUGCACAGGGUUCGGCCAAGAAGCACCAGCUCGAGUCACCCAGCGAGAAACCAGAGAUAGUCCUCAGCAAACUCAUCCAGGUUGCUUUCUGAAGGCAGCACCACUCCAUGCUCAGGGAGUUCCACCAAGUUGGAGAAACUCCUGCAACGCAGCUGCAACCAUACAGGCACCAGAGAAAUGCACCAAGCCAUUUCAUUGGGCAAGUCAAGUGAGCCUGAUACAUGGUCCUUUUGAAAGAGAGCCAGCAUCACCCGCUGCCCACCCCACAGAACUGAACUUACCUACCAGCAUUCUGGGGGCAGACGCUGAGAAGAAAACAGAGUUAGACCGGGAAGUUCUCCUCCGCCAUUCCACUUCAGCAAGAAGGGCUUCACCUUCCUCUCAGGACUCCAGCAGCACACCCAACCCUGAAAUAAAAGAACACUGCAGUGUCAGACAUUAACUGGACCCACAGUCUCACACUCCUCCAAGAGAGGGGCUGAAACAAAAGCACACCCUCACACAGAACACGCUUGCAUGCCUGGAACUCCUUAAAACCCAGACAGGGCACAGCUCACCUUGCUCCAGAAGGGCACCAUCGCAGUUCUUGGUCUGGCCCUGAACCUGAAAAAAACAGCUGUCAGCCCUCCAGUUGCAGACCACCCUGAAACAACAAGAAAACAAUGAAGCCAGAGGGAUGGGAAGGGUCUCACUCUCCAGGGCGCACCACCUGGGAAAGCCUCCAGACCAAGCUUCCAUAGCCCCAGGCAAGGCAACACCAUAACUGCUUUGUCGCUCACAGUCCAGUCCUUCUUCCUGCUGGUGUUCCCCUCCAUGAAUGCCGCGCAGCUCUCAUCAGCGAGACUCCUGCACCUGAAAUAUGCACCAACAGGAGUCACAUUCUGCCCCCUCCCAUCUAAACUAACCCCACAAACUUACAGUGCUACCAGCUUGCUCUAGCUGAAGCCACCUUGACUGCCCCAGACUAUUUUCUUCUCUUCCCAGUGCCAGGAUGUGACAUCUAGAACAAGUUGUUCCCACACCUCACUGGAAAGGAUGCAAGGCCGUGCUUCUCACCCUGUUUGAAGGCUGCGCCAACGCUGGCUGUCCUCUGGUCCUCAGACGCAUUUCCUAUAGGAAAGAUCAGACAGAGUCAGAGACAGCUGUUGGGCUGUCUCCUCAGCACACACACCUGUAUCCCAUUAGGGCCAAGGGACUUGCAGACACACAUUUCACCUACAUCGUCUCUUACCACCUCCUCCAGGAUCCCUGAGGAGAGCUCUCAGCAGUACCCUCUGAAGAGAAGGCAGUCAGCACCUCUGCAUUCCCUGGUCUCCUUCUUGCUGCUGACAAACUGCUACAAUAUUUAACAGAAAUUCAGGAAUCAGAAGGACCAACACCAUGGAAAAGGUGUUACAAAAGAGGUGGAAGGAGCAGCACAACAGCAAGGUGCUGCAAGGGAAGGGAAGCACAUCACUCACCCGUAUCCAAAGAUUCUGGGUUUGCAGGGGAAGGCCUCCACCAAGGAGGAAGCUCCACAAAGAGAUCCUUCCUCACUGAGGGUCAGCCCUUAAAUGAGCCUGAAGAGGGGUGCAGCCAGGCUCCUCCCCUUCUGGUUACACAGUGAAUUGCCUUCACCUGUGCUCCCAAGGACUUUCCUCCAGGUGCUCAAUCAGUGCUUCAGGCCCUGACUCAGCAGUUCCCAUGCAAAACUCCACCUCCCACCCCAGAGGUGAUGCUGAACAGGCCUCAGCCUUCUGUGCCCCAAUCUCUUCCUUCUCCCCUUCCAGUUUAUUUGAGAGCUCCUCUGUCUCCUGCUGUUUCAGCUCCAUUUCUUCCUCUUUGGGAUACACCCCUCUGCACACACAGGAACUAAUCUUCCAGCUUCAGUCACCGCUGCUCGUGGGAACCCUUCCCAUGCUGUAACCUAAGCGACGCCUCCGAGCAGCUCCUGUAAGAGGCAAAGUAAGAACUCCAAUCUUCCACACCCCGCAGGAACCUCCCGCAACCAGCGUGCCCCGCAGGGCGGUUCCAGCCCACCCUGAGCAGCGACACCCGCAGCCAGGAGGCCACUUCCAGCCGCGUGCCGAAGCGCUCGCCAGCUUCCUCGUCCAGGGCUGGAUGAUGUCCCCCACGUCUUCUUCCCACGCCAGCGCCGCGCUCGUUCUCCAUCCAUCCCCGGGCACGGCUCAAUACCUGCCGCUUCUCCCGCGGGAAGAGCAACUCCGCCGCCUCGCCGCUCCGUCUGUUCUCAACACAGCGCAGCCAGCCGCAACAGCGUGCCGGUCCCGCGAGCCGCCCCGCCGCGUCUCCGCGGUGGGAACGAGAUCGCGCUCCUAGAGUUGCACCUAGGGGGAGAAUACACACGGUCCCGUCCCGCUCGCUCCCGCCGCUGUCAGCGGGAGGGGCCGAAGCCUCCGCGACACCUACCCGACACCGCCCCGGGGCCGCGCUCGCUCUCGGUCCCACAGACAGAGAACGUACGCGGCGAUUACCGAACGCUCACCCCUUCGGGCCGACGGGCGCUCCGCCGCAGCCCUGGCUCCGCCUGCAAGAAGAAAACGCUUGGCUUCGUGCGGCGCCGAGGUCGGAGACGGCCGGCCCCGUCCCGCUCGCUUCCCCCGUGAAGAGCGGAGAGAACUGAAGAACUCGCUACAACGAAAAUAAAGAAAGAAACAAACCCA
Molecule: long non-coding RNA, 3077 nt
Filed under: Numida meleagris (helmeted guineafowl)
Lineage: Eukaryota; Metazoa; Chordata; Aves; Galliformes; Numididae
Description: lncRNA (ENSNMEG00000004706.1)
Source: RNAcentral